This 292-nucleotide ribosomal RNA is filed under the name uncultured bacterium. Its description in RNAcentral is "partial 16S ribosomal RNA". It matches the Rfam family "Bacterial small subunit ribosomal RNA", at positions 505 to 796 of the family's 1533-position model. The record is from RNAcentral.
GUGCCAGCCGCCGCGGUAAUACGGAGGGUGCAAGCGUUGUCCGGAAUCACUGGGCGUAAAGGGUGCGUAGGCGGAUUAAUAAGUCAGGCGUGAAAGGUUACAGCUUAACUGUAGACUUGCGUUUGAUACUGUUAUUCUUGAAUUAAGAUGAGGUUGGCAGAAUGCUACAUGUAGCGGUGAAAUGCAUAGAUAUGUCGUAGAAUACCGAUUGCGAAGGCAGCCAACCGGACUUAAAUUGACGCUGAGGCACGAAAGCGUGGGGAGCGAACAGGAUUAGAAACCCGAGUAGUCC